UCUCUUUUUCUUGGUGGGUGUUGAGUGUGUGGUCCCUGUCCUCCCCCCAUAAUGUAUUGAGGCAGAGAGAAAUGGCUACAGCCCCCCUCUAUACCAUGUCUUUGGUACCCAUGGCUUUUAGUCCACCAGUUAUAUCCUCAAGCACCAGGACACAG
Ailuropoda melanoleuca (giant panda) is the source of this 155-nucleotide small nucleolar RNA. The record is from Ensembl. Lineage: Eukaryota; Metazoa; Chordata; Mammalia; Carnivora; Ursidae.